UUAAGUUCAGCGGGUAUCCCUACCUGAUCCGAGGUCAACCUUAAGAUGUGGGUUUCUAGAGGCAGGAGUCUCAGUUUCUCUGAAGCGGGAAGUAUUACUAACGCUUGAGGCCCUGAGCCACCGCCGAACAGUUUGAGGCGCGACCUCCCGGUUAGGGGGGGUUGACACCCAAUGCCAAGCAGAGCUUGAUGGUUGAUAAU
This 200-nucleotide unclassified non-coding RNA is filed under the name fungal sp. Its description in RNAcentral is "partial internal transcribed spacer 2". Lineage: Eukaryota; Fungi. The record is from RNAcentral.